UUGACUCUAUUUCUUGUUAAGGCUAUCAGACAUUCUCCAUGAUGUGGACUGAGACUCAUACCUUCGGUCUUUCUGGUACAAAGGUGGUGUCUCAGUGGGCCUUUACACAGCUUACAUUACCACUUUGUGCUGUAUGAUGCACUUGACGCUCACUUGCAGAUAGAAAAAAAAUAUUCUUCACGAACAGAGAACCCCGUAGCCUCUGCUCUAGAGAUCAUUGAUUACAGAGAACCACUCCUUUCAUGUGAAGACAGAAAAAAAGCUUGAAAAUAAAAUCAAAAGGUGUUUUAAAGAGAAGAAAUAA
Molecule: long non-coding RNA, 304 nt
Filed under: Phasianus colchicus (ring-necked pheasant)
Lineage: Eukaryota; Metazoa; Chordata; Aves; Galliformes; Phasianidae
Description: lncRNA (ENSPCLG00000008811.1)
Source: RNAcentral